Molecule: long non-coding RNA, 255 nt
Filed under: Mytilus galloprovincialis (Mediterranean mussel)
Lineage: Eukaryota; Metazoa; Mollusca; Bivalvia; Mytilida; Mytilidae
Source: RNAcentral
GUUACACUGGUGUCAGAAGUGGGAUGUCAAUUCUUCCAGACAUCCCGUGAUCGUACCCAUAGCCAAUUCGGGAUUAUUUUAGCUUCGACGUGUGGUGGAAUAUGUAAAUAAUAAAUUUGUAAAUAACGUUUCCAGUUACUGUUUUUAUCGUAUUUUGCGUUGUUCCGUUACCGUUGUAUUUAUGAAUUAAAAUUUAGAUGAACGUUUAAACGACAGUAUUUUAACCCUGUAUGUAAUCAGUUUUAUAAAACAAAC